UUAAUUUUAUUUUAAUAUUUUUUAAAAAGAAUAGAUUUAAUUAAUAAUAUUUAAGGGGAUAAGCUCUUAAAUAAAAGUUUAUAAUGUAUUUGGGUUUAAAUAAAAAAAUAGGUUUAGAGAUAUCUAUUAUUUAUAAUUUGUUAUAAUUAUUUUAUUUUUAUUUAUUAUUUUAUAUGUGUUUAAUUUUUUAUAAAUAAAUAUUAUUUAAUAAUAAAUUAUUAGGUAUAAUGAUUGAAUUAGUAUAUAUAUAUAUUAUGUUUAGAUUAUAGGAUUAGUUAGAUUAAUUAAAGGAAUUCGGCAAAAAUUUUAUUCGCCUGUUUAACAAAAACAUGUCCUUUAGAGAUAAUUGAAGGUUUAACCUGCCCACUGAGAAAUUUUAAAUGGCCGCAGUAAAUUGACUGUGCAAAGGUAGCAUAAUCAAUAGUUUUUUAAUUGAAAGCUUGUAUGAAUGGUUGGACGAGAUAAAAUCUGUCUUUAGUUAAUAAAUAAAAUUUAAUAUUUAAGUUAAAAAGCUUAAAUAAUAUUAAAAGACGAGAAGACCCUAUAGAUCUUUAUAAUAUUGUAAUUAUUUGUAUUAAAGAUUAAUUUAUAUUUUAUUUAUGUUAUUAUUAUAUUGGGGUAAUAGAGAGAUUAGAAAAAUUCUUUUUAAAAAUUAACAAUAAUUUUUGAUUUAGUGAUCCAUUAAUUAAUGAUUAAAAGAUUUAGUUACCUUAGGGAUAACAGCGUAAUUUUUUUAGAGAGUUCAUAUCGAUAAAAAAGUUUGCGACCUCGAUGUUGGAUUAAAAAUUAUUCUAGGUGUAGUAGUUUAGAAUUUUGGUCUGUUCGACCAUUAAAUUUUUACAUGAUCUGAGUUCAGACCGGUGUAAGCCAGGUCGGUUUCUAUCUUUAGUUAGAGAUAAUAUUUUAGUACGAAAGGACCAAUUAUUAAAUAUGCAAUAUUUUUAUUAUUGAAUUAUAUU
This 959-nucleotide ribosomal RNA is filed under the name Rhithrodytes crux. RNAcentral describes it as "partial 16S ribosomal RNA". The stretch from base 716 to 874 matches the Rfam family "Bacterial large subunit ribosomal RNA", at positions 2473 to 2632 of the family's 2925-position model. Lineage: Eukaryota; Metazoa; Arthropoda; Insecta; Coleoptera; Dytiscidae. The record is from RNAcentral.